UACGAAGGGGGCUAGCGUUGCUCGGAAUCACUGGGCGUAAAGGGUGCGUAGGCGGGUCUUUUAAGUCAGGGGUGAAAUCCUGGAGCUCAACUCCAGAACUGCCUUUGAUACUGAGGAUCUUGAGUACGGGAGAGGUGAGUGGAACUGCGAGUGUAGAGGUGAAAUUCGUAGAUAUUCGCAAGAACACCAGUGGCGAAGGCGGCUCACUGGCCCGUUACUGACGCUGAGGCACGGAAAGCGUGG
Molecule: ribosomal RNA, 243 nt
Filed under: uncultured bacterium
Lineage: Bacteria
Description: partial 16S ribosomal RNA
Rfam family: Bacterial small subunit ribosomal RNA
Source: RNAcentral